RNAcentral lists this small nuclear RNA (106 nucleotides) under Phocoena sinus (vaquita). Lineage: Eukaryota; Metazoa; Chordata; Mammalia; Artiodactyla; Phocoenidae. The record is from RNAcentral.
GUGCUCUCUUCGGCAGCACAUAUAUUAAAAUUGGAACAAUACAGAGAAGAUUAGAAUGGCCCCUGCGCAAGGAUGACACGCAAAUCGUGAAGCGUUCUGUAUUUUU